UUUACCCCGUGGUACACCACGGGUCUAGUAUUUAAUGUGUCUCUCUUAAAUAAAUCUUUAACCCUUCUAGUUUAAUCAGUUCCAUACAAAGUUCGUGUAGCAUAAUCUUGGAGGUCGAACCGGAAGAAUAUAUUCUUUGGAUUUUAAGGUUCAGUUAAAGUUUUAAAAUCUAGAAUUUACCCCAUGAUACACCAUGGAUCUAUUUUUUCUUUGAUAGGUUAUUUAAAUAAGUUAAUAUAGUGAUAUGAUUAAAAUUCUUGGUUCAUAGAUGUUAC
RNAcentral lists this long non-coding RNA (275 nucleotides) under Capsella grandiflora. RNAcentral describes it as "long non-coding RNA (CGRA_LNC000861)". Lineage: Eukaryota; Viridiplantae; Streptophyta; Magnoliopsida; Brassicales; Brassicaceae. The record is from RNAcentral.